GGGUAGUAAUGAUUUUUUAAACCUAAAGAAUUUGGCGGUACUUCAUUCUUACUAGAGGAACCUGCUCUUGAAUCGAUAUUCCACGAUUAAAUUUACAUGUUUUUGUUUUCAGUUUGUAUACCGCCGUUGUCAGAUUAUUUUUAAAAAAUAUUAUCUAGCUAGUUUAUUACUGUGACAUCAGGUCAAGGUGCAGCCGAUGAAUAUGGGAGUAGUGGGUUACAAUAAAAUUAAUUUAAUAUGGAUUAAUAUUUGUAUAAGUGUUAUGAAGGUGGAUUUAGUAGUAAGAUAAAAAUAAAAUAUUUAUAUGAAAUGAGCUCUGAA
This 321-nucleotide ribosomal RNA is filed under the name Lepidurus sp. BV-2012. RNAcentral's name for it is "partial 12S ribosomal RNA". The record is from RNAcentral. Lineage: Eukaryota; Metazoa; Arthropoda; Branchiopoda; Notostraca; Triopsidae.